RNAcentral lists this long non-coding RNA (2125 nucleotides) under Malus domestica (apple). RNAcentral describes it as "long non-coding RNA (MDOM_LNC008773)". The record is from RNAcentral. Lineage: Eukaryota; Viridiplantae; Streptophyta; Magnoliopsida; Rosales; Rosaceae.
CGGAAACCCAUAUUAUGUCCAAACAUUGAAUCACCAUUUAGUUGUAGCUAGCAAUCUUUGAAUUAAUUGAAAUCAAGACUAUGUCAAAGAUGGUUUCUUCCAAGUCAACCAUUCUCUUUGAUUGUGGUCACCUUAAGCUACCAAUUAGCUAUGAAGGUUUCAUUAUUUCGAGUCAAAUGGUACUUUACCAUUUCCUUGAGUAUAUGUCGUAUAUACACUCAAUGUAGUCAUAAGGAUUUUCAUUCUUAUUUCUUUCAAAUUAAGAGGUGUAACUCUAUGACAUAGUCAUAAAGUUCAAAAACAUUCAACUGAGACAGUUUAUAAAUCCUUCUCGAUUGCCUUGGAGCUUGUGGUGUAGGAACUAGGUUGUUAUAUUUGUUGAUUAUCAUCUUGUCUCUCAAAGAACCCAUUCUUUGAGUUCUAUCUCUCGUUCAUUUGCGCUUAGGCAAAUCAUAUUGUAGGAUUACAAUGAACUAUCCAACAAAACAACAUUUGUUAGUUGGUUUAUAGAAGUGAUAUCCAAAGGUUAAUUAAAGGAUAUCCACAAGAUAAUUCUCAAAAAAAUAUUGCUUAUUAGCACACAACCCCAAAUCUUAACACAAUUAAGACUUAUCUUUCUUUCCAACUACAUCUUAUGGAGUCAUGAAAAUUUUGGAAGAUCUUCUAAUUGACAAUCAUAUUGUCUUAGAAGUAUAUAUCCUAUAUAUGGAUAAUUGAUAACAUCCAACAAACUAAAUCUUAUUCAAGUUCGUUCUUCUCCUAAUGGAGAAAUCCAUUAUCUUAUGGUGCUUCUUUCCUUGAUAUCUUUCAAGGAAACUAUUCCAAAGUGUUACCUUUCCUUGGAUCAAAUCUAAGGAGGUAAACACUUUAGAUGUCUUACUCAUCAACUUACAUUCUUGAAUUCUUUGAAACCUUUUGCAAAGUAUUCGGACUUGUGUUUAUUCAAAAUAAACGAUAAUCCAACCGAGAGCGAUCUUCGGUGAAUGUCAUACAACAUGAGUAGUAUUAUGUUGUGGAGAAGUGCCACUAACAUCUAAGUGAAUUAACCUCAACAACUUUGUGAUUUUUUCUUCCUUUCCAAAAGAAUAAAGAUUCAAACAUUUUGCCUCUAUACAAUUUUAACAAGAAGGCAUUGGAUCCGGAUCUAACGAUCCAAAGCAUCCAUCUAUGACUAACUCGUAAUUUAUGUUUUAGAUGUAUCACAACUCAGUUGGGAUUAGUCACUACCUUGCAACCUUUUGGGUUUUAAGCAUCGUUAUAUUCUAAACAGUUAACACUACCAUAUCAUAUCUACUAUAGAGAUAAUCAAUUAGAUUACAAUGAUCUAAUCAUUCAUUAAUAAAGAACAAAGUUUUGUCAAACAAAACAUUCAUCCAUUUCUCAUACGGAAUUAUGUUCCUUUAUUCAAAUUGGAAUGUAAAGACAAUCUUUGUUUUUUCCAUUUUCUUUGGUAGUUCACAUGAGGAAGUAAGUACUACCUGCUUUCGCAGAGAUCUACAUUUGAUUCACAUUCCGAAUGUGAAGUACUUUCUCUUCUCUCAUUAAUCUUCUACUUCUUAUUAGCCACACUUUUACAACGAUUGUAAAACAUAGUUACUAAUACGGAAUCAAGCAUUCAAGUAGAAGAACCAACUGUUUUGAAUUAUUCAAGAACAAUUUACAACACCUUCGAAAGGUGUGUUCUUGACACUUGCAAGACAUUUCUUGCAAAUACCCCUUCCAAUGUCCAUCCUUUCAUAAAGAAAGUUUGUUCCGUUGGAGUUAUUUCUCCUUCUUCAUUUGACUUCUCCUUUGACUACAAUAGUCAUGGUCCCUAUCCCACUAUCUCUCUUGAAACUUAUUUCAAUUGUGUUAUAUACAUCAAACAAUUUGGAGAGCGUGUGGUUAUUGUUCACUAUAUAGUUUACAAUAAACUUAGUGAACCAUUUGGAUAGGGACACAAAAGUGAAGUCCUUCCCUAGUUUCCAUCUCUAGAAGUGGUUUAACACUUCAACACUUCAACACUCAAUGAUUCAAAAUCAUCAUAAGUCCAUGUUGAUGGACUAUUUUUGUCAACCAACCAUUAUGUUCUAAACAAAAUUACAAACAUUCAAGAGUUGUUCAAGGCAACUCUCAUUUCUUCAUA